This 796-nucleotide ribosomal RNA is filed under the name uncultured marine thaumarchaeote. RNAcentral's name for it is "bacterial SSU rRNA". It matches the Rfam family "Archaeal small subunit ribosomal RNA", at positions 82 to 879 of the family's 1478-position model. The record is from RNAcentral. Lineage: Archaea; Thermoproteati; Nitrososphaerota.
ACGGCUGCUCAGUAACACGUAGUCAACUUACCCUAUGGACGAGGAUAAUCUCGGGAAACUGAGCAUAAUACUCGAUAGAUCAUAAUGCCUGGAAUGGUUUAUGGUUGAAAUGAUUCAUCGCCAUAGGAUGGGACUGCGGCCUAUCAGCUUGUUGGUGAGGUAAUGGCCCACCAAGGCGAUUACAGGUACGGGCUCUGAGAGGAGAAGCCCGGAGAUGGGUACUGAGACAAGGACCCAGGCCCUAUGGGGCGCAGCAGGCGAGAAAACUUUGCAAUGUGCGAAAGCACGACAAGGUUAAUCCGAGUGAUUUCUGCUAGAGAAAUCUUUUGCAAGUCAUAAAACCACUAGUGAAUAAGGGGUGGGCAAGUUCUGGUGUCAGCCGCCGCGGUAAAACCAGCACCUCAAGUGGUCAGGAGGAUUAUUGGGCCUAAAGCAUCCGUAGCCGGCUCUGUAAGUUUUCGGUUAAAUCCAUGUGCUCAACGCAUGGGCUGCCGAAAAUACUGCAUAGCUAGGGAGUGGGAGAGGUAGACGGUACUCGGUAGGAAGGGGUAAAAUCCUUUGAUCUAUCGAUGACCACCUGUGGCGAAGGCGGUCUACCAGAACACGUUCGACGGUGAGGGAUGAAAGCUGGGGGAGCAAACCGGAUUAGAUACCCGGGUAGUCCCAGCUGUAAACGAUGCAGACUCGAUGAUGCAUUGGCAUGUAGCCAGUGCAGUGUCGCAGGGAAGCCGUUAAGUCUGCCGCCUGGGAAGUACGUACGCAAGUAUGAAACUUAAAGGAAUUGGCGGGGGAGCAG